RNAcentral lists this ribosomal RNA (1347 nucleotides) under uncultured bacterium. RNAcentral's name for it is "bacterial SSU rRNA". It matches the Rfam family "Bacterial small subunit ribosomal RNA", at positions 28 to 1381 of the family's 1533-position model. The record is from RNAcentral.
GAUGAACGCUGGCGGCGUGCUUAACACAUGCAAGUCGAACGGGAUCCAUCAGGCUUUGCUUGGUGGUGAGAGUGGCGAACGGGUGAGUAAUGCGUGACCGACCUGCCCCAUACACCGGAAUAGCUCCUGGAAACGGGUGGUAAUGCCGGAUGCUCCGACUCCUCGCAUGGGGUGUCGGGAAAGAUUUCAUCGGUAUGGGAUGGGGUCGCGUCCUAUCAGGUAGUCGGCGGGGUAACGGCCCACCGAGCCUACGACGGGUAGCCGGCCUGAGAGGGCGACCGGCCACAUUGGGACUGAGAUACGGCCCAGACUCCUACGGGAGGCAGCAGUGGGGAAUAUUGCACAAUGGGCGCAAGCCUGAUGCAGCGACGCCGCGUGCGGGAUGACGGCCUUCGGGUUGUAAACCGCUUUUGAUCGGGAGCAAGCCUUCGGGUGAGUGUACCUUUCGAAUAAGCACCGGCUAACUACGUGCCAGCAGCCGCGGUAAUACGUAGGGUGCAAGCGUUAUCCGGAAUUAUUGGGCGUAAAGGGCUCGUAGGCGGUUCGUCGCGUCCGGUGUGAAAGUCCAUCGUUUAACGGUGGAUCUGCGCCGGGUACGGGCGGGCUGGAGUGCGGUAGGGGAGACUGGAAUUCCCGGUGUAACGGUGGAAUGUGUAGAUAUCGGGAAGAACACCAAUGGCGAAGGCAGGUCUCUGGGCCGUUACUGACGCUGAGGAGCGAAAGCGUGGGGAGCGAACAGGAUUAGAUACCCUGGUAGUCCACGCCGUAAACGGUGGAUGCUGGAUGUGGGGCCCGUUCCACGGGUUCCGUGUCGGAGCUAACGCGUUAGGCAUCCCGCCUGGGGAGUACGGCCGCAAGGCUAAAACUCAAAGAAAUUGACGGGGGCCCGCACAAGCGGCGGAGCAUGCGGAUUAAUUCGAUGCAACGCGAAGAACCUUACCUGGGCUUGACAUGUUCCCGACAGCCGUAGAGAUAUGGCCUCCCUUCGGGGCGGGUUCACAGGUGGUGCAUGGUCGUCGUCAGCUCGUGUCGUGAGAUGUUGGGUUAAGUCCCGCAACGAGCGCAACCCUCGCCCUGUGUUGCCAGCACGUCAUGGUGGGAACUCACGGGGGACCGCCGGGGUCAACUCGGAGGAAGGUGGGGAUGACGUCAGAUCAUCAUGCCCCUUACGUCCAGGGCUUCACGCAUGCUACAAUGGCCGGUACAACGGGAUGCGACACGGCGACGUGGAGCGGAUCCCUGAAAACCGGUCUCAGUUCGGAUUGGAGUCUGCAACCCGACUCCAUGAAGGCGGAGUCGCUAGUAAUCGCGGAUCAGCAACGCCGCGGUGAAUGCGUUCCCGGGCCU